This 68-nucleotide transfer RNA is filed under the name Saguinus mystax (moustached tamarin). RNAcentral describes it as "tRNA-Ser". It matches the Rfam family "tRNA". From Rfam's summary of the family: Transfer RNA (tRNA) molecules are approximately 80 nucleotides in length. Their secondary structure includes four short double-helical elements and three loops (D, anti-codon, and T loops). The record is from RNAcentral. RNAcentral also lists the same sequence under 2 other names. Lineage: Eukaryota; Metazoa; Chordata; Mammalia; Primates; Cebidae.
GAAAAAGUCAUAGGGUAUAUGGGAUUGGCUUGAAACCAAUUUUUGGGGGUUCAAAUCCUUCCUUUUUC